AGGGAAUCUUCCGCAAUGGACGAAAGUCUGACGGAGCAACGCCGCGUGAGCGAAGAAGGCCUUCGGGUCGUAAAGCUCUGUUGUCAGGGAAGAACAAGUAUCGGAGUAACUGCCGGUACCUUGACGGUACCUGACGAGAAAGCCACGGCUAACUACGUGCCAGCAGCCGCGGUAAUACGUAGGUGGCAAGCGUUGUCCGGAAUUAUUGGGCGUAAAGCGCGCGCAGGCGGUCCUUUAAGUCUGAUGUGAAAGCCCCCGGCUCAACUGGGGAGGGUCAUUGGAAACUGGGGGACUUGAGUGCAGGAGAGGGAAGUGGAAUUCCACGUGUAGCGGUGAAAUGCGUAGAGAUGUGGAGGAACACCAGUGGCGAAGGCGGCUUCCUGGCCUGUAACUGACGCUGAGGCGCGAAAGCGUGGGGAGCAAAC
This 425-nucleotide ribosomal RNA is filed under the name uncultured bacterium. RNAcentral's name for it is "bacterial SSU rRNA". It matches the Rfam family "Bacterial small subunit ribosomal RNA", at positions 356 to 773 of the family's 1533-position model. The record is from RNAcentral.